CGGCCGUCCGAGUUGUAAUCUGGAGAAGCGUUUUCGGUGCCGGCCCGCGUACAAGUCCCCUGGAACGGGGCGUCGCAGAGGGUGAGAAUCCCGUCUUUGAUGCGGUCUCGCCGGUGCCAUGCGAAGCGCUCUCGAAGAGUCGAGUUGUUUGGGAAUGCAGCUCAAAACGGGUGGUAAAUUCCAUCUAAAGCUAAAUACGGGCGAAAGACCGAUAGCGAACAAGUACCGUGAGGGAAAGAUGAAAAGCACUUUGGAAAGAGAGUCAAACAGUACGUGAAAUUGUUGAAAGGGAAACGCUUGAAGUCAGUCGCGUCUCCCGGGACUCAGCGGGGUCACUCCCGCGCACUUCCCGGGUUUAUGACGGGCCAGCGUCGAUUUCGACCGUCGUAGAAAGGCGAGAGGAAAGUGGCGGUCCUUCGGGGCCGUGUUAUAGCCUCGCGUCGUAUGCGAACGGUCCGGGAUCGAGGGAUGCAGCGCGCCUUCCUUUUCGGAGGAGGGCCGGGGUUCGCCCACGUAACGCGCUUGGGACGCUGGCGUAAUGGCUUUAAGCGACCCGUCUUGAAACACGGACCAAGGAGUCUAACAUGCUCGCGAGUGUUCGGGUGGAAAACCCGCGCGCGUAAUGAAAGUGAAAGGUUGGGACCCCUUCGCGAGAGGGGGGCACCGACGCCCGGACUCGAGCCACCGGUGACGGUUCCGAGGCGGAGCGCGUAUGUUGGGACCCGAAAGAUGGUGAACUAUGC
This 743-nucleotide ribosomal RNA is filed under the name Lysurus periphragmoides. RNAcentral's name for it is "partial large subunit ribosomal RNA". It matches the Rfam family "Eukaryotic large subunit ribosomal RNA", at positions 131 to 836 of the family's 3401-position model. The record is from RNAcentral. Lineage: Eukaryota; Fungi; Basidiomycota; Agaricomycetes; Phallales; Phallaceae.